This 447-nucleotide ribosomal RNA is filed under the name uncultured bacterium. RNAcentral's name for it is "SSU rRNA". It matches the Rfam family "Bacterial small subunit ribosomal RNA", at positions 26 to 518 of the family's 1533-position model. The record is from RNAcentral.
AGAGCGAACGCUGGCGGCAGGCUUAACACAUGCAAGUCGAGCGGGCGUAGCAAUACGUCAGCGGCAGACGGGUGAGUAACGCGUGGGAACAUACCUUUUGGUUCGGAACAACACAGGGAAACUUGUGCUAAUACCGGAUAAGCCCUUACGGGGAAAGAUUUAUCGCCGAAAGAUUGGCCCGCGUCUGAUUAGCUAGUUGGUGAGGUAACGGCUCACCAAGGCGACGAUCAGUAGCUGGUCUGAGAGGAUGAUCAGCCACAUUGGGACUGAGACACGGCCCAAAACUCCUACGGGAGGCAGCAGUGGGAAUAUUGGACAAUGGGCGCAAGCCUGAUCCAGCCAUGCCGCGUGAGUGAUGAAGGCCCUAGGGUUGUAAAGCUCUUUUGUGCGGGAAGAUAAUGACGGUACCGCAAGAAUAAGCCCGGCUAACUUCGCGCCAGCAGCCGC